RNAcentral lists this ribosomal RNA (428 nucleotides) under uncultured bacterium. RNAcentral's name for it is "bacterial SSU rRNA". It matches the Rfam family "Bacterial small subunit ribosomal RNA", at positions 355 to 774 of the family's 1533-position model. The record is from RNAcentral.
UGGGGAAUUUUGGACAAUGGGGGCAACCCUGAUCCAGCCAUGCCGCGUGAGUGAAGAAGGCCUUCGGGUUGUAAAGCUCUUUCGGCCGGGAAGAAAUCGCAUGGGUUAAUACCCUGUGUGGAUGACGGUACCGGAAUAAGAAGCACCGGCUAACUACGUGCCAGCAGCCGCGGUAAGACAGAGGGUGCAAACGUUGUUCGGAGUUACUGGGCGUAAAGCGCGUGUAGGCGGCUCUGAUAAGUGAGGUGUGAAAGCCCUGGGCUCAACCCAGGAAGUGCAUUUGUGACUGUAUAGCUAGAGUACGGCAGAGGGGGAUGGAAUUCCGCGUGUAGCAGUGAAAUGCGUAGAUAUGCGGAGGAACACCGAUGGCGAAGGCAAUCCCCUGGGCCUGCACUGACGCUCAUGCACGAAAGCGUGGGGAGCAAACA